Molecule: long non-coding RNA, 3411 nt
Filed under: Canis lupus familiaris (dog)
Lineage: Eukaryota; Metazoa; Chordata; Mammalia; Carnivora; Canidae
Description: lncRNA (ENSCAFG00845028123.1)
Source: RNAcentral
UCCUUCCGCCAGCCCCGCGCCGGCCUGACGCUCGGGAGCCGGAGUCCCCACCUGAGCUUUUGGUGCACUCCUGCUCUGCGGUGAGGAUGAACCCGUCACGUUUUGGUGACGUUUAUCUGGGAGAAAGCUGUUCUGCCACCUAGAGCUGUCCAGGGCAGAAUGAAGCAGAAACACAUCCACUCUCAAUCCUUCAACUCUGCUUCUUCCUAUGGUGAUUAUUAGCAGAUGUGGCUGCUGUUUAUUGCAAGUGCUGGAGGCUGCUUCUUGGCCUCAUUGGCUGUCCAUACUCAUGACAACUCCAGCCCCAGUAUUUCUUGAGAGGGCAGUUCUUGCUGUACCCGUGAACUGUGGGGGCCACCUGAAUAUACUUCACGGACCCCAUGAAAAUGCCUUUGGAUUUGCCAAGAUGACCUCCUCCACCUGGAGCAUUGUGAUCAUUCACACCAUCAGCUCUGUAAGAGAAUCGCAGUCCUGCAGUGUAUUGUAAAAGUUGGGAAUCUGUUUGCUGAGAAACUGCAUCUUAGUGCAAUAUUUUUUUAGACAUCUUAUUUAUUUGUUCAUGAGAGACACAGAGAGAGGCAGAGAUAUAGGCAGAGGGAGAAGCAAGACUCCAUCCCAGGACCGCAGGAAUCAUGUCCUGAGCCAAAGGCAGAUACUCAACCACUGAGCCACCCAGAUACCCCUCAUUGUAAUUUUUAUAACUAGUUUUCUUCUCAUGGGUUAGGUUGGGCAUUCUUUCAUAUGUGGAAGGGUUAUUCGCAUUGGUGUUUCAGUGAGCAGUCUAUAUCCUUUGCAUGGUGUUUUUUGUUUGUUUGUUUUUUGUUUUUUAAUUAAGUUUUUGCUUUUCCCCUCAAUUUCUAAGAGCUUUUUUGGUAUCUGAAGCUCAGUAUUCUGUCCCGGACAUAAUGAAAAUAUUUUCUCCCAGCUUAUUAAUAUUACUGUGUCUUUUGAUUUUUGAUGCUUAUUAUCCUAUGAAUCUGUCAUAUGCUUACAGGUGAAUUAAAAUCUCUCCCUGCUGUGGGUUGCGUCUGUUUCCCGUUCGGUCUCCUACAGUUUCCUUGGGAAUAUUGCUGCUGGGUAUUUAGAUCAUAACAAAGUGCCCUUCCUGUCAUUUCUAAUGGUUUGGGGGCAGAACUCUACUCUGUCUGACUUUCCUAUCAGGAGCACAGCUUCCUUUUAUUUGUAUACGCUUUGCUAUACUUUGCUCAUCUCUUUAACUGAAUUGAAUCACUUUUAUGAGGUGUGUCUCUUGUGCAUAGCAUAGAGUUGGGUUUUGCUUUGUGAUAAAAUCUGAAGAUCUUUCUCUUUUAUUACAUGAUUCAAUCCCAUUUUCAUUUAAUGAUUAAUGCAUACAUUUGGUAUUAGCUCUGUCCCAUUAUUUUCUGUUGUAUUUCAGUUUUUAGGGCAUUUUUUUAAAAGUCUUUAUAUCGUUUGUUUUCUUUGCUUUUUGUAUAGAGUUUACGUUUAAGGUAUGUAAUCUCAUUUUACUGGCUAUACUUGUAUAAAUAUAGUAUUUUUUGAAAGAUUUAUUUAUUAUUUGAGAGACAGAGAGAGAGAGUGUGAGGAGGGGCAGUGGGAGAGAAUCUUCAAGGGGACUCCCUGCUGAGCACAGAGCUGGAUGUGGGCUUCGAUCUCACCACUCUGAGAUCAUUACCCGAGCUAAAACCAAGAAUCAGCCACUUAACUGACAGAACCACCCAGGCACUCCUUGUAUAAAUUCAAUAUUACCCACUCUUUUACUCAUUAAUUUUUAGACAGCACUGAUGACAUUAGAACCUUCUCCCUCCCUCUUUUUCUUCUAUAACCUGAUUUUAUCAGUCAUAUAUUUUUCAGUGUUUACAUUUGAGCAGCAUUGUCCACUCGCUCAUGCAGACUUUCAGUGAUCACUAAGGGAUUGCCUGUCCCUCCCAUUCUCAUCUACGUGUGGCCCUCCAUCACAUGACCUCUGCAUCAGUGUGUGUAGUUUGCACAUUCCUCUCCUUGCCCUUUGUCACCCCCUUCAGUGCCAGUCUUGCAGCAUCGCAGCAGUGCUUUGGGUUGACUGUAAUUCCUCCUCUGAGAGUUCCCCAGGAAUGUCUCCUGGGGGUCAUGGUCUCUGAAUUUGUGCAACUUCAAAAAUGUUUGCUGUCUGUUCAUUUGAAGGAAAGCUUGGUUGGAAAUAAAGUUCUCAUGUCAUGGACUUGUUGUUACUCUGUUUUUAAUCUUAGAGUUCUUGCUCCACUGUCUUCAGAGUUACUGCUGCAUUGUCUUCAGGUAUCGAUCAUUGCUGUGAAGAAAUCAGAAGCCAGGGUACCUAGGGGGCUCAGUUGGGUAAGCAUCUGCCUGCAGCUCAAGUCAUGAUCCUGGUGUGCUGGGAUCAAGCGCAAUGUAGGGCUCCUUGCUUAGCAAGGAGUCUGCUUCUGCCCCUCCCCCUGCUUGUGCUUUCUUGCUCUCUCAUAGAUAGAUAGAUAGAUAGAUAGAUAGAUAAAAACAAACCUUAAAAAAAAAAAGAGGAAAGAAAGAAAUCAGAAACUAGACCAUCCUUUUGCCCGCAAAGGAGUCUGUCUUUACCUUUAAGGCUGGGUAACCUCACUAGGAUGUGUGUGUCCCUUGAAGAUUCUCAUCAGCUUCUCAGACAUAGUGUGUGCUUUUCUCACUUAGAAUCAUGCAUGCUUUUACAUCAGGAAGUUUUUAAAAAGUUUUUAAAAUCAUAUUUUAAAAUCAUAUUCAAGUAUAUGCCCCGUUUUACCGUUCCUGUUAUUAUUGUCGUUACAAAUAGGGAGAGUCUAGCCACGCAGACUGUUUUAUGUUGUAGUCUUCAAUCUCUUUUAUCUUUUCUCUGAUUAUUCUAAACUUCCAGUCUCCAUUGUUCACUUUCCUCAUUACUACCUUCUAUUUCUCUACAUUUUUGUCGAUUAUCUCUUAUCCCUUGUAUAUCUUCCAAUUGAUCUUCAUUUCUGUAUGAUCUUCCCAUUUAUUUGUCUGUUUAAUCUUGCCAUUUCUUACUUAUGGUCUUGUGUUUCUCUUAUAGAGUCUUUCUUCAUUUACUUAGAGACUUUUUCUUUAGAAUUUUUUCCUAAGAACAAGAAUGUUCCUUAGUUAUUGGUAUUAAGUAAUCUCUAGUAUAUUUUAAGUGAAGAAAGCAACAGGCAGAGCUCUGUGUGACUGAUUAUAUAAAAAGGGAAAAAGAAAGAAGAAAUAUAAUUGUGCCUGCAUAUGCAUAAAAUAUUUCUGAUAUAAUAUUCAAGAAAUGGUGACAUUGUGGACCUCCACGUGGGAGGAAAUGCAUAUUCUGGAAACAUUGACAAAAGGGAGAAUUUUUUUUAAUUUUUCUGCCUCUGGUAACUUUGGAAUUUUGAACCAUAUGAAUGUAUGAUCUCUUCAAGUGAAAUGAACUUGAUACAAAUACAAAUAAAAUAAAAACAGGUCAGC